AAGAGGAGCUUAUAGGGAGAUACCAUGAUCACGCAGGUGGUUUUCCCAGGGCAAGGCUUAUCCAUUGCACUCGGGAUGUGCUGACCCCUGUGAUUUCCACAAAUGUGGGAAACUCUGCUGCAUAAUUUGUGGUAGUGGGGGACUGCGUUCGUGCUCUCCCCUG
Molecule: small nuclear RNA, 163 nt
Filed under: Echinops telfairi (small Madagascar hedgehog)
Lineage: Eukaryota; Metazoa; Chordata; Mammalia; Afrosoricida; Tenrecidae
Description: U1 spliceosomal RNA (ENSETEG00000023584.1)
Rfam family: U1 spliceosomal RNA
About the family: U1 is a small nuclear RNA (snRNA) component of the spliceosome (involved in pre-mRNA splicing). Its 5' end forms complementary base pairs with the 5' splice junction, thus defining the 5' donor site of an intron.
Source: RNAcentral